GUAGGAAUGUAUUUAAAUAACUGUGAGAAACUCAAUGCUAGGGAAGAAAGAGGAAGAAAGAGAGAGAGGAGGGAGAUCCAUUCUCUCUCUCCUUCUCAUCUCACCAUCCAUGUUUGUCACCAUCACAGCCACCAUUCCUCUCAUUUCUCUUCUUUUUUUCCUUCCUUCCUUCUUGUUGAAAUUAAAAAAAAAAAAAUAAAGUUUAAAUAAACCCUACCCAGAAAGUCACCAAUUUUUAAAUUAUUUGCUACACCAAUUUUUAAAUUAUUUGCU
This 273-nucleotide unclassified non-coding RNA is filed under the name Hevea brasiliensis (rubber tree). The record is from RNAcentral. Lineage: Eukaryota; Viridiplantae; Streptophyta; Magnoliopsida; Malpighiales; Euphorbiaceae.